Molecule: long non-coding RNA, 1058 nt
Filed under: Oncorhynchus kisutch (coho salmon)
Lineage: Eukaryota; Metazoa; Chordata; Actinopteri; Salmoniformes; Salmonidae
Description: lncRNA (ENSOKIG00005008300.1)
Source: RNAcentral
UGAGAGGUCUAUUUGGUCAUUUUCACUUGAGGGACAGUUAAGCGUUAACAGGUGUCUUGUGUUACUUGUUUAACAGACAGACAGCAUCCCCUCCAGUGUUGGCCUACAGGAUGAUGCCAUGGAGGUCGAGCAGUCUGACCAUAGGAAAGGAGACACGAACAGUGAUGACUCUGGAACUAUGGAUAAAAAGUAUCCUUGUCCACCUCCAAAAAGGACAGACACAGGGAAAAUGCAGGUGUCGGCAAAAGAGAGACUUAAAAUCUAUUUCCACGCCAUCCUCUCAAUGGACUUCAAUCUUGACCAGAAUGAGGAUCGCCUUUUCAUAUGGGCAGGGGAGGAAACGGGGAGCUGGGAAUCCAAUGCAGUUGAGCUAACCGUGACAAAGUGGGUUCGCUUCACGUGUGUGUCUACUGUAUGUUCAACCGGAAUUUAGUGGUUUGUCCCAGUUGUGUUGCCCUAAAAAGUAAUCCUAUAAGUAAUUUCAUUCUACAUAAAGAGUGAUGUAACACAUCCUAACGUCAUAACCCUUGUUAUGUUUAAAGAUAUAGUCCAAUCCUGGGACAGGAUGUGAUGUUGAGUGGCAAGAAACUAAAUAGAAGUAGUCAGGUUUCCAAUGACGCAGGUUUAUUCCACACAAGCAAUGUCGGCCCCCCCAAAAAAUAUUUUUGACGUGUAGGGUAGCCUAGUGGUUAAAGCGUUGGACUAGUAACCGGAAGGUUGCAAGUUCAAACCCCCGAGCUGACAAGGUACAAAUCUGUCGUUCUGCCCCUGAACAGGCAGUUAACCCACUGUUCCUAGGCCGUCAUUGAAAAUAAGAAUUUGAUCAACACAAAUUUGAUCUGUUCGACGGUUGGGUUUUUCUUUUAUCUAACUUUCUUUUCAGCGACUAAUUCUGGUGGGGUUUUUUUUUCAAAUAAAUGCUGAUUGACGAAUCAUUUUGAAGGUACAGUGGGGCACGUGAUGUCAUCAUGUAACUAUUAAAACCAUCCGCUCCACAUUACAUUCUAAAGGCCUACUGCUGGCAAAAUCAUUUUAUUUUUUUUAAAUAUAUAUAUUUU